AAAAAAGACAAACCUAAGUUUUUGUGUCCAAUUUUGAUUGUCCGUCUUAUAUGAAAUUUUUUUGUAAUUCGUAUUUUUAUUGUUGUUAGAUGAUAAAACAUGAUUAAUAUUUUAUGCGUGACUUGUCUUUUUAAUUUUUUUCAUAAUUUUUUUAAAUAAGACCCAGGGUUUGUCAAACGUUGGGCACAAAAACCAAGGUUUGUCUUUUUU
MicroRNA precursor from Oryza sativa Japonica Group (Japanese rice), 210 nucleotides. It matches the Rfam family "MIR812 microRNA precursor family". Lineage: Eukaryota; Viridiplantae; Streptophyta; Magnoliopsida; Poales; Poaceae. The record is from Rfam.